AAUGAGCCUGUCUUUUAUAAUAAAAGUAUAAUUAAAAAGGACAAACAGUUCUUCAAUCUUCUUGAGAUAAUCGAUAAUCAGCUGUUUUUUGAGUGCCCUGUGUCACUAGGCCCUGUACCACCUCACAACUACCUAGGCUGUGGGGAUAAGAACGCCUCCUUGAGGAAGCGCCCUGCAAGGCCAGGCACCACGAGCAGGGCCUGGAUUUCUCCUUAGAAUCUGGCAGAGGCUGAAGAGUCUCUAUUUUUCGUCUCUUAUUGUUGGAAAGUGGACCCUCGCUUUUUAAAAAUGCCGGCAUUUAGAAUUCCGUGUUCUUGUCCCUGUGCCGCUCUUCAACCACACAGUCUACUGUUUGUUAUAUUUCGUUUUCAUUAGUGGUAUUCUGAAAUAUUUUUGUGCUUUGAUGAAUUUUGAUUUUUAUGAUUAAAGAAAGUAAAAAAGAUCAGGAUCAAUCUGGUCUAUAACAUUUUUGGGAAAUGGGAACGAA
This 487-nucleotide long non-coding RNA is filed under the name Ursus maritimus (polar bear). Its description in RNAcentral is "lncRNA (ENSUMAG00000001296.1)". Lineage: Eukaryota; Metazoa; Chordata; Mammalia; Carnivora; Ursidae. The record is from RNAcentral.